RNAcentral lists this ribosomal RNA (113 nucleotides) under uncultured bacterium. RNAcentral's name for it is "partial 16S ribosomal RNA". It matches the Rfam family "Bacterial small subunit ribosomal RNA", at positions 1371 to 1482 of the family's 1533-position model. The record is from RNAcentral.
UUCCCGGGCCUUGUACACACCGCCCGUCACACCACGAAAGUUGGCAAUACCCGAAGCCGGUGGCCUAACCCGCAAGGGAGGAGCCGUCGAAGGUAGGGUCGAUGAUUGGGGUG